RNAcentral lists this transfer RNA (64 nucleotides) under Scolytinae sp. BMNH 1274720. RNAcentral's name for it is "tRNA-Glu". Lineage: Eukaryota; Metazoa; Arthropoda; Insecta; Coleoptera; Curculionidae. The record is from RNAcentral.
GUUUAUAUAGUUUAAAAAAAACAUAACACUUUCAUUGUUAUAUUGGAUAAAUAUCCUUUAAAUA